Cinara cedri is the source of this 238-nucleotide non-coding RNA. The record is from the annotation of a GenBank genome assembly. NCBI's taxonomy places the organism in Eukaryota, Metazoa, Arthropoda, Insecta, Hemiptera, Aphididae.
ACAACAACAACAACAACAACAACAACAAUAACAAUAACGACGUACCGUUCGACAUAAUGACGAGACGCGUGUACGUACAGCAUGAUAAACGGACCGGCCGGAGUUUGAUGCCCGGUCCCGGUAUCGUCUUGAUUCGUGCGCGCAGUAUAUAUCAAUAAAAAAAAAAAAAAAAAAAAAAAAAAACGCGAGCCGCGGUUAGGUACGCGUUCGGAUCACAUACUGGUUAAAAUAUGAGCCC